CCUACGGGAGGCAGCAGUGGGGAAUAUUGGGCAAUGGGCGCAAGCCUGACCCAGCAACGCAGCGUGAAGGAUGAAGGCCUUCGGGUUGUAAACUUCUUUUCUCAGGGACGAAGCAUGUGACGGUACCUGAGGUAUAAGCCACCGCUAACUACGUGGCAGGAGCCGCGGUAAUACGUAGGUGGCAAGAGUUAUCCGGAUUUGCUGGGUGUAAAGGGCGUGUAGGCGGGAUAGUAAGUCAGAUGUGAAAACCAGGGGCUCAAACUGUGGACUGCAUUUGAUACUGGUUUUCUUGAGUACUGUAGAGGUAGGCGGAAUUCCUAGUGUAGCGGUGAAAUGCGUAGAUAUUAGGAAGAACACCAGUGGCGAAGGCAGCUUACUGGACAGCAACUGACGCUGAGGCGCGAAAGCGUGGGGAGCAAACAGGAUUAGAUACCCCAGUAGUC
RNAcentral lists this ribosomal RNA (443 nucleotides) under uncultured bacterium. RNAcentral's name for it is "partial 16S ribosomal RNA". It matches the Rfam family "Bacterial small subunit ribosomal RNA", at positions 338 to 795 of the family's 1533-position model. The record is from RNAcentral.